This is a ribosomal RNA of Campylobacter hominis ATCC BAA-381, 2910 nucleotides long. It matches the Rfam family "Bacterial large subunit ribosomal RNA". Lineage: Bacteria; Pseudomonadati; Campylobacterota; Epsilonproteobacteria; Campylobacterales; Campylobacteraceae. The record is from Rfam.
AGGUAAGCUACUAAGAGCAAAUGGUGGAUGCCUUGGUUGGUAGAGGCGAUGAAGGACGUACUAGACUGCGAUAAGCUAUGAGGAGCUGUCAAGAAGCUUUGAUUCAUAGAUUUCCGAAUGGGGCAACCCGGUAUAUAGUGAUAUAUACCACCUGAUAUGGAGCGAACUUGGGGAACUGAAACAUCUUAGUACCCAAAGGAAAAGAAAUCAAUUGAGAUUAUGCAAGUAGCGGCGAGCGAACGCGUAAGAGGGCAAACCACUAGUUUACUAGUGGGGUUAUAGGACUGCAUAAAAGAAUAAAAACGGAUAAUAGAACAAUUUGGAAAAGUUGAGCAUAGAGGGUGAUACUCCCGUAUAUGAAAUCCCUUUUUUACUUAGCGGUAUCCUGAGUAAGACGAGUCACGUGAAAUCUUGUCUGAAUUCGGGUCGACCACGAUCCAACCCUAAAUACUACUACCAAACCGAUAGCGAACAAGUACCGUGAGGGAAAGGUGAAAAGAACUGAGGUGAUCAGAGUGAAAUAGAAUCUGAAACCAUUUGCUUACAAUCAUUCAGAGCCCUAUGAUUUAUCAGGGUGAUGGACUGCCUUUUGCAUAAUGAGCCUGCGAGUUGUGGUGUCCGGCAAGGUUAAGUAAACACGGAGCCGUAGCGAAAGCGAGUCUUAAUAGGGCGUUUAGUCGGAUGCUGCAGACCCGAAACGAUGUGAUCUAUCCAUGAGCAGAUUGAAACCGGUGUAAGAACCGGCGGAGGAUCGAACAGACGGCCAUUGAAACGGCUCCUGAUGACUUGUGGAUAGGGGUGAAAGGCCAAUCAAACAUCGUGAUAGCUGGUUCUCUUCGAAAUAUAUCGAGGUAUAGCGUUGUGUCGUAAUUAUAAGGGGUAGAGCACUGAAUGGGCUAGGGCAUACACCAAUGUACCAACCCCUAUCAAACUCCGAAUACUUAUAAUGUAAUCACAGCAGUCAGGCGGCGAGUGAUAAAAUCCGUCGUCGAAAGGGGAACAACCCAGACUACCGACUAAGGUCCCUAAAUCUUAUUUAAGUGGAAAACGAUGUGAAGUUACUUAAACAACCAGGAGGUUGGCUUAGAAGCAGCCAUCCUUUAAAGAUAGCGUAAUAGCUCACUGGUCUAGUGAUUUUGCGCGGAAAAUAUAACGGGGCUAAAAUAAGUACCGAAGUCGUAGAUUUACACAAUAGUGUAAGUGGUAGAAGAGCGUUGUAUUUAGCAUUGAAGGCGUACCGGUAAGGAGCGCUGGAGCAUAUACAAGUGAGCAUGCAGGCAUGAGUAGCGAUAAUUAAUGUAAGAAUCAUUAACGCCGAAAACCCAAGGUUUCCUACGCGAUGCUCGUCAUCGUAGGGUUAGUCGGGUCCUAAGCAAAGUCCGAAAGGGGUAUGCGAUGGAAAAUCGGUUAAUAUUCCGAUACCAACAUUAUUGUGCGAUGGAAGGACGCUUAAAGUUAAUGGGGCUAAGUGAUGGAAUACUUAGUCUAAGGAUGUAGGUUAAGUUGUAGGCAAAUCCGCAACUUUUUAUCCGAGAUCUAAAAGGCUUACAAAACUCUUCGGAGUAGCGUAAGAACCCAUGAUACUAUCGAGCCGAGAAAAGUUUCUAAGUUUAGAUAAUGUUGCCCGUACCGUAAACCGACACAGGUGGGUGGGAUGAGUAUUCUAAGGCGCGUGGAAGAACUCUCUUUAAGGAACUCUGCAAAAUAGCACCGUAUCUUCGGUAUAAGGUGUGCCUAACUUUGUGAAAGAUUUACUCUAUAAGCAAAGAAGGUUACAACAAAGAGUCCCUCCCGACUGUUUACCAUAAACACAGCACUCUGCUAACACGUAAGUGGAUGUAUAGGGUGUGACGCCUGCCCGGUGCUCGAAGGUUAAUUGAUGAUGUCAGGAGUAAUCCAAAGCAUUUGAUCGAAGCCCGAGUAAACGGCGGCCGUAACUAUAACGGUCCUAAGGUAGCGAAAUUCCUUGUCGGUUAAAUACCGACCUGCAUGAAUGGCGUAACGAGAUGGGAGCUGUCUCAAAGAGGGAUCCAGUGAAAUUGUAGUGGAGGUGAAAAUUCCUCCUACCCGCGGCAAGACGGAAAGACCCCGUGGACCUUUACUACAGCUUGACACUGCUACUUGGAUAAAGAUGCGCAGGAUAGGUGGUAGGCUUUGAUCUAUAGACUCCGGUUUAUAGUGAGCCAUUGGUGAGAUACCACUCUUCUUUAUUCGAUUAGCUAACUAGCAUAAGUUAUCCUUAUGUAGGACAAUGUCUGGUGGGUAGUUUGACUGGGGCGGUCGCCUCCCAAAUAAUAACGGAGGCUUACAAAGGUUGGUUCAUAGCGGUUGGAAAUCGCUAGUAGAGUAUAAAGGUAUAAACCAGCUUAACUGCGAGACAUACAGGUCGAGCAGAGACGAAAGUCGGUCUUAGUGAUCCGGUGGUUCUGUGUGGAAGGGCCAUCGCUCAAAGGAUAAAAGGUACCCCGGGGAUAACAGGCUGAUCUCCCCCAAGAGCUCACAUCGACGGGGAGGUUUGGCACCUCGAUGUCGGCUCAUCGCAUCCUGGGGCUGGAGCAGGUCCCAAGGGUAUGGCUGUUCGCCAUUUAAAGCGGUACGCGAGCUGGGUUCAGAACGUCGUGAGACAGUUCGGUCCCUAUCUGCCGUGGGCGUAAGAAGAUUGAGGAGAGUUGACCCUAGUACGAGAGGACCGGGUCGAACUGACCACUGGUGUAUGGGUUGUUCUGCCAAGAGCAUAGCCCAGUAGCUAAGCCGGGAUGUGAUAAGAGCUGAAAGCAUCUAAGCUCGAAGCCGACUCCAAGAUUAAUCUUCUUUUAAGAGCUCUUAUAGACUAUAAGUUUGAUAGGCCGGGUGUGUAAUUGAUGUAAGUCAUUUAGCUGACCGGUACUAAUAGCUCGUUUGCUUAUCUUA